GAAGUAAAAGUCGUAACAAGGUUUCCGUAGGUGAACCUGCGGAAGGAUCAUUACCUAGAGUUGUAGGCUUUGCCUGCUAUCUCUUACCCAUGUCUUUUGAGCACCUUAUGUUUCCUCGGUGGGCUCGCCCGCCGAUUGGACAAAAUUUAAACCCUUUGUAGUUUGUAAUCAGCGUCUGAAAAAAACUUAAUAGUUACAACUUUCAACAACGGAUCUCUUGGUUCUGGCAUCGAUGAAGAACGCAGCGAAAUGCGAUAAGUAGUGUGAAUUGCAGAAUUCAGUGAAUCAUCGAAUCUUUGAACGCACAUUGCGCCCCUUGGUAUUCCAUGGGGCAUGCCUGUUCGAGCGUCAUUUGUACCUUCAAGCUUUGCUUGGUGUUGGGUGCUUGUCUCGCCUUUGCGUGUAGACUCGCCUUAAAACAAUUGGCAGCCGGCGUAUUGAUUUCGGAGCGCAGUACAUCUCGCGCUUUGCACUCAUAACGGUGGCGUCCAAAAGUACAUUUUUACACUCUUGACCUCGGAUCAGGUAGGGAUACCCGCUGAACUUAAGCAUAUCAAUAAGCGGAGGA
This 568-nucleotide ribosomal RNA is filed under the name Phaeosphaeriaceae sp. RNAcentral's name for it is "eukaryotic LSU rRNA". The stretch from base 198 to 351 matches the Rfam family "5.8S ribosomal RNA". The record is from RNAcentral. Lineage: Eukaryota; Fungi; Ascomycota; Dothideomycetes; Pleosporales; Phaeosphaeriaceae.